Molecule: unclassified non-coding RNA, 210 nt
Filed under: Picipes tubaeformis
Lineage: Eukaryota; Fungi; Basidiomycota; Agaricomycetes; Polyporales; Polyporaceae
Description: Polyporus tubiformis partial ITS1
Source: RNAcentral
AACGAGUUCUGAAAGGGGUUGCAGCUGGCUUUCAUUUUUUGGAAGCAUGUGCUCGCCCUGCUCAAUCCACUCUACACCUGUGCACUAACUGUGGGUCUUGUGUGUGGGCCUUCGUCCUUCGCGGGGCGUCGGCUUUAACCCUGGCCUACGUUUUCUUACAAACACUUUAAAAGUAUCGAGAAUGUGUAUUGCGACAUAACGCAUUUAUAU